RNAcentral lists this ribosomal RNA (492 nucleotides) under uncultured bacterium. Its description in RNAcentral is "partial 16S ribosomal RNA". It matches the Rfam family "Bacterial small subunit ribosomal RNA", at positions 29 to 507 of the family's 1533-position model. The record is from RNAcentral.
AGUGAACGCUGGCGGUAGGCCUAACACAUGCAAGUCGAACGGCAGCACAGUAAGAUCUUGCUCUUACGGGUGGCGAGUGGCGGACGGGUGAGGAAUACAUCGGAAUCUACUUUUUCGUGGGUGAUAACGUAGGGAAACUUACGCUAAUACCGCAUACGACCUACGGGUGAAAGCAGGGGAUCUUCGGACCUUGCGCGAUUGAAUGAGCCGAUGUCGAAUUAGCUAGUUGGCGGGGUAAAGGCCCACCAAGGCGACGAUCCGUAGCUGGUCUGAGAGGAUGAUCAGCCACACUGGAACUGAGACACGGUCCAGACUCCUACGGGAGGCAGCAGUGGGGAAUAUUGGACAAUGGGCGCAAGCCUGAUCCAGCCAUACCGCGUGGGUGAAGAAGGCCUUCGGGUUGUAAAGCCCUUUUGUUGGGAAAGAAAAGCAGCAGGUUAAUACCCCGCUGUUCUGACGGUACCCAAAGAAUAAGCACCGGCUAACUUCGUG